Molecule: unclassified non-coding RNA, 343 nt
Filed under: soil metagenome
Description: partial contains 5.8S ribosomal RNA, internal transcribed spacer 2, and large subunit ribosomal RNA
Rfam family: 5.8S ribosomal RNA (bases 1-120)
Source: RNAcentral
GAUGAAGAACGUAGUGAAAUGCGAUAAGUAAUGUGAAUUGCAGAAUCCAGUGAAUCAUCGAAUCUUUGAACGCACAUUGCGCCCGCCAGCAUUCUGGCGGGCAUGCCUGUUCGAGCGUCAUUUCAACCCUCGACCUCCCUUUGGGGAAGUCGGCGUUGGGGACCGGCAGCACACCGCCGGCCCUGAAAUGGAGUGGCGGCCCGUCCGCGGCGACCUCUGCGUAGUAAUCCAACUCGCACCGGAACCCCGACGCGGCCACGCCGUAAAACACCCAACUUCUGAACGUUGACCUCGAAUCAGGUAGGACUACCCGCUGAACUUAAGCAUAUCGAUAAGCGGAGGA